RNAcentral lists this ribosomal RNA (201 nucleotides) under uncultured bacterium. RNAcentral's name for it is "partial 16S ribosomal RNA". It matches the Rfam family "Bacterial small subunit ribosomal RNA", at positions 1301 to 1500 of the family's 1533-position model. The record is from RNAcentral.
AAGGCUGAAAUUACGCCUUCAUGAAGCUGGAAUUGCUAGUAAUGGCAGGUCAGCAUACUGCCGUGAAUACGUUCCCGGGCCUUGUACACACCGCCCGUCACACCAUGAGAGUUGGAAAUACCCGAAGCCUGUGAGCUAACAGUAAUGAGGCAGCAGUCGAAGGUAGAGCCAAUGAUUGGGGUGAAGUCGUAACAAGGUAAC